CAGCCGCCGCGGGAAAACGAGGGGGGCAAGCGUUGCUCGGAAUUAUUGGGCGUAAAGGGUGCGUAGGCGGUUUGAUAAGUCUUGUGUGAAAUCUAUGGGCUCAACCCAUAGUCUGCACAGGAAACUGGGAAACUUGAGUGCAGAAGAGGAGAGUGGAAUUCCACGUGUAGCGGUGAAAUGCGUAGAGAUGUGGAGGAACACCAGUGGCGAAGGCGACUCUCUGGUCUGUAACUGACGCUGAGGAGCGAAAGCGUGGGGAGCGAACAGGAUUAGAUACCCCUGUAGUCCCUGUCUCUUAUAC
RNAcentral lists this ribosomal RNA (301 nucleotides) under uncultured bacterium. RNAcentral describes it as "partial 16S ribosomal RNA". It matches the Rfam family "Bacterial small subunit ribosomal RNA", at positions 509 to 807 of the family's 1533-position model. The record is from RNAcentral.